Molecule: ribosomal RNA, 1117 nt
Filed under: Isoptericola sp.
Lineage: Bacteria; Bacillati; Actinomycetota; Actinomycetes; Micrococcales; Promicromonosporaceae
Description: bacterial SSU rRNA
Rfam family: Bacterial small subunit ribosomal RNA
Source: RNAcentral
ACAUGCAAGUCGAACGGUGAAGCCCAGCUUGCUGGGUGGAUCAGUGGCGAACGGGUGAGUAACACGUGAGCAACCUGCCCUCCACUUCGGGAUAAGCCUUGGAAACGGGGUCUAAUACCGGAUAUGAGCAUCUGCCGCAUGGUGGGUGUUGGAAAGUUUUUCGGUGGAGGAUGGGCUCGCGGCCUAUCAGCUUGUUGGUGGGGUGAUGGCCUACCAAGGCGUCGACGGGUAGCCGGCCUGAGAGGGCGACCGGCCACACUGGGACUGAGACACGGCCCAGACUCCUACGGGAGGCAGCAGUGGGGAAUAUUGCACAAUGGGCGAAAGCCUGAUGCAGCGACGCCGCGUGAGGGAUGACGGCCUUCGGGUUGUAAACCUCUUUCAGCAGGGAAGAAGGCUUCGGUUGACGGUACCUGCAGAAGAAGCGCCGGCUAACUACGUGCCAGCAGCCGCGGUAAUACGUAGGGCGCAAGCGUUGUCCGGAAUUAUUGGGCGUAAAGAGCUCGUAGGCGGUCUGUCGCGUCUGGUGUGAAAACCCGAGGCUCAACCUCGGGCUUGCAUCGGGUACGGGCAGACUAGAGUGCGGUAGGGGAGACUGGAAUUCCUGGUGUAGCGGUGGAAUGCGCAGAUAUCAGGAGGAACAUCGAUGGCGAAGGCAGGUCUCUGGGCCGCAACUGACGCUGAGGAGCGAAAGCAUGGGGAGCGAACAGGAUUAGAUACCCUGGUAGUCCAUGCCGUAAACGUUGGGCACUAGGUGUGGGGCUCAUUCCACGAGUUCCGUGCCGCAGCUAACGCAUUAAGUGCCCCGCCUGGGGAGUACGGCCGCAAGGCUAAAACUCAAAGGAAUUGACGGGGGCCCGCACAAGCGGCGGAGCAUGCGGAUUAAUUCGAUGCAACGCGAAGAACCUUACCAAGGCUUGACAUGCACCGGACGCUGCCAGAGAUGGUGGUUUCCGCAAGGUCGGUGCACAGUGGGUGCAUGGUUGUCGUCAGCUCGUGUCGUGAGAUGUGGGUUAAGUCCCGCAACGAGCGCAACCCUCGUCCCAUGUUGCAGCGGUUAUGCCCGGGGACUUCAUGGGAGACUGCCGGGGUUCACUCGGAAGGAAGGCGGGAAUGC